RNAcentral lists this ribosomal RNA (228 nucleotides) under uncultured bacterium. Its description in RNAcentral is "partial 16S ribosomal RNA". It matches the Rfam family "Bacterial small subunit ribosomal RNA", at positions 118 to 347 of the family's 1533-position model. The record is from RNAcentral.
UGAGCAACCUACCCUCAACUUCGGGAUAAGCCUCGGAAACGGGGUCUAAUACCGGAUAUCACUCCUUACUUCAUGGUUUGGGGUUGAAAGUUCUGGCGGUUGGGGAUGGGCUCGCGGCCUACCAGCUUGUUGGUGGGGUAAUGGCCUACCAAGGCGACGACGGGUAGCCGGCCUGAGAGGGUGACCGGCCACACUGGGACUGAGACACGGCCCAGACUCCUACGGGAG